Molecule: long non-coding RNA, 2905 nt
Organism: Panicum virgatum (switchgrass)
Lineage: Eukaryota; Viridiplantae; Streptophyta; Magnoliopsida; Poales; Poaceae
Exons: 2
Source: RefSeq, a predicted model, not a curated record
AAACCAGAUAAAGCUUCAUCUCCUUUCCUCCGUUUCUAUCCAUCUUUCUUAUUCUUUACCAAGACAAAUUGCAUGUUUAACUGUUUGCAAGCUAUCGAUAUUUUUCAGAUGAUGUGAAACUAGACUAGAUAACAAAAGUAGACUAGAUAAACGUCAUAUACCAGCAGGUGUGGCGCAAGCAAGAGCAAUUUAUUAUUUUUUAAAAAACUUUUUUUCCUUUCCAUGAAAUACCUUUUGAUUUUCUUCAUUUUGAUUAAAUCCAUAUCUCACGCUAUAUAAAUUGUACAACUUAUUAUGCUUCAUAACCCCUGAGUAUUCGAUUGAAUCGAACAAUCAGGCCGUUCCUUGUCUUCCAAAUAAAUUUGAAAAUUAAGAUAUCAUAACACGUGUCCCAUAGACCCCGAGUUUUAAAUCUAAAUCAUUGAGAAAAAGUAUCCAAAAUAACAUACGAAAAUAUAGUUGAACAAAUUGUUUUGAUGGUUAAUUUGGAUUUAUUCGAUCAAAAUUUUAAAAACCUUUUUCGGAAUAAAAUCCCUAAAAACGAUUAAACAAAUAACUUCCCGAAACAAAACUUGAAAUUACUGCAAAAACUAAUCUUAUCCCGUGAAGAACUAUUAUGCUUCCACAAAACUACUAUUUUGCACCGCUAAUUAUUUUUACUGCAAGGUAAUUAUAGGUAAAUCCACUUCCAUUGCUCUGUCACUUCAUCUUCCUCUACUUCAUCGUCGCUGCCAUUUCUAGAUUCAGAUUCAGAUCUGCUUGUCGGCCACCUCCUCGUUUUAGCAAUCGAGUCGCCAGGGCUUUCUCCCUCAGAUCCACACAUCCGCCACUCCUCUCAUAAGCCCCUGAGCGUGUUGGAGUGAAGGAACUCAUACCCCAGAGAUGGUAGGCAAGAAUAACGCCAACAAAGAAAAGGGGGGAAGCAGUCAAUGGAAGCGGCUCUGCUUGUCGAUUUGUGGUGGAAAAGUAAGUGCUCUGAAACUGAUCUCUUGAGACUUAUUGAUGAGGGCCUUCUUGAGCCCAAAGAAAUAAUGUAGUGGCGCCCAACCGGAUCAGAUGCUACUCUGAACAAAUGGAUGUGAUUAUUCUAUUUCAACAAUUUGUUGAGCCUGGCUUGGCCCUCUCUGCUUCUGAUUUAAUUUUCUUCACGGAUUACUGUACUACCGUGGUAUCAGAUCCACCAUCUGAAUCCCAACUGUAUCUUGCAUAUUUCCAUUCAACCCUAUCUUGCAUAUUUCCAUUUUUGUUCAAUUGUGAGAAACAUUCCUUAGCAUCAAGCCCCACUAAGAUCUUUUUCGUCAUCUCUUCCAUCUGAAACCCCAUCACAACGACAAAAACAUCAAUGUAGUCGAAGGAUCUGGGUUCCAACUUAGGUAGGAGAUGGACAAGCACUAUAUCAAGUACAAAUAUCCGAGUAGUCUGGCUGGCUGGAAAGACUAUUGGUUUUAUAUCGAGAAUAUAAGCCAGCACUUCCAAAAUAGCACCCGUACCCAAUCCAACCCAACUCAGUCUGGAAUGAAAAAGUACCCGAAGUAGACAUGGUUAGCCAAGCCCAUCCAACCCCUACAAAAGUGCGAGCGGUUUGGGGCGACGCGACCAGGGGCCAAGCAUCAUUCAUUAUAUACGGGGAGGCGCUCGAGCUCUUGGGACUCGCAUGCUCGGAACGGUCUACCAUGCCUAGUCAGACUGACCUUAUUGGUGCAGAGGCAUCAGCCCAGACACGACGCGAGGUCCGCAUCGGGUCGGGCCAAGCCCAAUUAUCCUCGUGCCAUGGGCCGGCCCAUGGGACUCGGACCGGAUGGAAAACUAUACUAAUAGUUAGUAAUAUUUUAUACAUAUAUACUAGGCAAAUAUACCCACAUGUUGCUACGGAUUAUAGAUAUCAAAUAAGUAUAAUUAUUCAUGCGUUAAUUUUAUAUCUUUACGUGAGCAAGUCAUGUACGGAGGGUUGGUUAAGUACCAUUCAUCGGAGCAUGCCCAUCGUUGUAGUCUUUUUCUUUCAAGUUUUGGUCCCAUGGUCCCUUCCAUUUACACACAUUUUGAAGUAGCAAUUAAUAAAUUUUAUUUUUUUCCUACCUCGCCGUAUCCUAACCGUGCCCGGUCCAAAGAGCGAAGCUCGGUCCGGGUAAAUACCAAAGGUCGUUGACUCCCAAUCCGUUUUCCACGCAAAUGCAAGACACUCAUCUCAUUUAUUUAGAGCUACAGACCGAGGGGGCACGGACGCCGACGGCGGCGGCGGCCGUGUCUCUCCACGACAUCAAGCCACAUUUGAGAGGGUGGCGGCUUCCUCCCUUCACCUGUGCUCUGUCGUUCGCGACCUGCGGCGAGCCACUCUCGAUCUGUUGUCAUCGGCAGCGGAGGUGCAUUUCCAUCAGCCCCAAUGGAUUGAGGGCUACAACACAUGAAACCGAUGGCGUUCCAUGGCAGCUGCGCAUUCGGAUGGACGAAUGGCGGUGGAGGUAGCGGCGGCAGCUUUGGACAGCUUGGAGCCAUUCUAGAGGUCCUUAGCCAUUGCUCGUUAGCGGUGAGCGCACGGGGAGGGGUGGAUGGACGCGGCUCUGCACGGUGACGGAGGAGAGGGUCGCACUUGCCGGCGACACUUGUGAUUCCCACGAGAUUUAGGAACCCCUGCUUGUUUCUUCAUACUACAGAGUACGGGAGAAGGUGCAUGCUCUGUUUGUGCAUUGGAGGCUUGGAGCCAUACAAUGAUCAGGAAGUGAGAGUGGCAGGAGCAAUAAGUAGUACGAGUUCAGAUGGAUAUAUAGUUCACGAAUCACUUCUAUGAUAUUAAGCAGUUACAUUGGGAGAGGAAUGAUCAUCUUCCUUUUGAUUCCUCUCUAAUUUGCUCAUCAAUUUCAAUAAUUUGUGCAAUCAUUUUGAAGCAAAUGAGUUUAGUUUGACAUCA